GUUGUAUGGUUAAGUGACUAAGCGUACAUGGUGGAUGCCUUGGCAGUCAGAGGCGAUGAAGGACGUACUAACCUGCGAUAAGCUGUGAGAAGUCGGUAAGAGACGCUAUUACUCACAGAUUUCCGAAUGGGGAAACCCACCCGAGAUAACUCGGGUAUCUGUUACUGAAUACAUAGGUAACAGAGGCGAACCGGGAGAACUGAAACAUCUAAGUACCCCGAGGAAAAGAAAUCAACCGAGAUUCCCUCAGUAGCGGCGAGCGAACGGGGAUUAGCCCUUAAGCAUCUUGGAAGUUAGUGGAACGGUCCUGGAAAGGCCGGCGAUACAGGGUGAUAGCCCCGUACACGAAAACAACCUUGAUGUGAAAUCGAGUAGGGCGGGACACGUGACAUCCUGUCUGAAUAUGGGGGGACCAUCCUCCAAGGCUAAAUACUCCUGACUGACCGAUAGUGAACCAGUACCGUGAGGGAAAGGCGAAAAGAACCCCUGUGAGGGGAGUGAAAUAGAACCUGAAACCGUGUACGUACAAGCAGUGGGAGCCCUUCGGGGUGACUGCGUACCUUUUGUAUAAUGGGUCAGCGACUUACAUUUUGUAGCGAGGUUAACCGUAUAGGGGAGCCGUAGGGAAACCGAGUCUUAACUGGGCGUCUAGUUGCAAGGUGUAGACCCGAAACCGGGUGAUCUAGCCAUGGGCAGGUUGAAGGUUGAGUAACAUCAACUGGAGGACCGAACCCACUAACGUUGCAAAGUUAGGGGAUGACCUGUGGCUGGGGGUGAAAGGCCAAUCAAACUCGGAGAUAGCUGGUUCUCCCCGAAAGCUAUUUAGGUAGCGCCUCGGACGAAUACUACUGGGGGUAGAGCACUGUUUGGGCUAGGGGGUCAUCCCGACUUACCAACCCCAUGCAAACUCCGAAUACCAGUAAGUAAUAUCCGGGAGACACACGGCGGGUGCUAACGUCCGUCGUGAAGAGGGAAACAACCCAGACCGCCGGCUAAGGUCCCAAAGUUCUGGUUAAGUGGGAAACGAUGUGGGAAGGCUCAGACAGCUAGGAUGUUGGCUUAGAAGCAGCCAUCAUUUAAAGAAAGCGUAAUAGCUCACUAGUCGAGUCGGCCUGCGCGGAAGAUGUAACGGGGCUCAAACCAGGCACCGAAGCCGCGGAUUCACACUUAUGUGUGAGUGGUAGGGGAGCGUUCUGUAAGUCUGCGAAGGUGUAUCGAGAGGUAUGCUGGAGAUAUCAGAAGUGCGAAUGCUGACGUAAGUAACGAUAAAGGGGGUGAAAAGCCUCCUCGCCGGAAGACCAAGGGUUCCUGUCCAACGUUAAUCGGGGCAGGGUGAGUCGACCCCUAAGGCGAGGCCGAAAGGCGUAGUCGAUGGGAAGCAGGUUAAUAUUCCUGCACGACUUGUAAUUGCGAUGGGGGGACGGAGAAGGCUAGGUGGGCCAGGCGACGGUUGUCCUGGUGAAAGUGCGUAGGUGGUGUUUCUAGGCAAAUCCGGAGACACAACACUGAGACACGAGACGAACACACCACGGUGUGGAAGCCAUUGAUGCCCUGCUUCCAGGAAAAGCCUCUAAGCUUCAGAUUACAAGUCAUCGUACCCCAAACCGACACAGGUGGUCGGGUAGAGAAUACCAAGGCGCUUGAGAGAACUCGGGUGAAGGAACUAGGCAAAAUAGAACCGUAACUUCGGGAGAAGGUUCGCUCUUGACAGUGAAGUCCCUUGCGGAUGGAGCAGUUGGGAGUCGCAGUGACCAGAUGGCUGGGACUGUUUAUCAAAAACACAGCACUCUGCAAACACGAAAGUGGACGUAUAGGGUGUGACACCUGCCCGGUGCCGGAAGGUUAAUUGAUGGGGUUAGCGCAAGCGAAGCUCUUGAUCGAAGCCCCGGUAAACGGCGGCUGUAACUAUAACGGUCCUAAGGUAGCGAAAUUCCUUGUCGGGUAAGUUCCGACCUGCACGAAUGGUGUACCCAUGGCCAUGCUGUCUCCACCCGAGACUCAGUGAAAUCGAAUUCGCCGUGAAGAUGCGGUGUACCCGCGGCUAGACGGAAAGACCCCGUGAACCUUUACUACAGCUUGGCACUGAACAUUGAACCUACAUGUGUAGGAUAGGUGGGAGGCUUUGAAGGCGUGACGCCAGUUGCGCUGGAGCCGUCCUUGAAAUACCACCCUUGUAUGUUUGAUGUUCUAACGCAGGGCCCUGAAUCGGGCUCGCGGACAGUGCCUGGUGGGUAGUUUGACUGGGGCGGUCUCCUCCCAAAGAGUAACGGAGGAGCACGAAGGUUGGCUAAUCCUGGUCGGACAUCAGGAGGUUAGUGCAAUGGCAUAAGCCAGCUUAACUGCGAGACGGACAGGUCGAGCAGGUACGAAAGUAGGUCAUAGUGAUCCGGUGGUUCUGAAUGGAAGGGCCAUCGCUCAACGGAUAAAAGGUACUCCGGGGAUAACAGGCUGAUACCGCCCAAGAGUUCAUAUCGACGGCGGUGUUUGGCACCUCGAUGUCGGCUCAUCACAUCCUGGGGCUGAAGUCGGUCCCAAGGGUAUGGCUGUUCGCCAUUUAAAGUGGUACGCGAGCUGGGUUCAGAACGUCGUGAGACAGUUCGGUCCCUAUCUGCCGUGGGCGUUGGAUGAUUGAAGGGAGUUGCUCCUAGUACGAGAGGACCGGAGUGAACGAACCUCUGGUGUUCGGGUUGUCACGCCAGUGGCACUGCCCGGUAGCUAAGUUCGGAAUCGAUAACCGCUGAAAGCAUCUAAGCGGGAAGCGAGCCCUGAGAUGAGUCAUCCCUGACCCCUUGAGGGUCCUAAAGGGCCGUUGGAGACCACAACGUUGAUAGGUGGGGUGUGUAAGCGCGGCGACGUGUUGAGCUAACCCAUACUAAUUACCCGUGAGGCUUAACCAUACAACACCCAAGAAGUGUUCU
This 2918-nucleotide ribosomal RNA is filed under the name Aeromonas veronii. Its description in RNAcentral is "bacterial LSU rRNA". It matches the Rfam family "Bacterial large subunit ribosomal RNA". Lineage: Bacteria; Pseudomonadati; Pseudomonadota; Gammaproteobacteria; Aeromonadales; Aeromonadaceae. The record is from RNAcentral.